Clupea harengus (Atlantic herring) is the source of this 3195-nucleotide long non-coding RNA. RefSeq lists it as uncharacterized. The record is from RefSeq and is a predicted model, not a curated record. Lineage: Eukaryota; Metazoa; Chordata; Actinopteri; Clupeiformes; Clupeidae. The transcript has 3 exons.
CAGUAAAAUCCAGCACACCUUAUCUGUCAGACAUAAACUUAUUUCUGAAAUGUGACAGUCUUGGCUAAAGCAAAGGAUAUCCUCUGUGGCCUGUCAUGUUCGGAAGUGAAGGACAUCUCAACUCUGGAAGAGAAGUAGCAGGUGGAACAUCCAGAGAAUUCUACCCCUAGGACCAUAAGAAUUGUGGCAGUGCCAAAGAAGGAGUUGUAAGGUACAUCGUAAUCACUGACAGACUGACAAGUACAGCUUCUAUUAAGGAGGCCAGUCCCCAGGCAGCGGUUAACACACAGAAUUGUAAGCUUGUGGAUGGUCACGAAGAGGUCCAGAAUCAGAGCAUUUGUACAUUUUUGGUGACAAAGUUUUGAUGCUGCAAUCAAACGUACUGGAACAAAACAAACCCCUACUUUCUGAAUGACUGAAAAUCCCUAUAAAAUGUUGUUUGUGUCCAACAUGUGACUAUACAUUUACCUGUGACUGCUUACUUAAAAUAUGUAACAAUUAUCUAUUUCCUCUGGUGCAUUUUAAAUAUAUACAUUACAGAAUGUUUGACUACUGUCAAACACUGCAGAAGACUACUUCUUGCAGAUUGUGUCAUGCAGUGUUAUAUGGCACUGUUUUGCUUUUGAGGAUUUUAGUAUCAACAGGCUAUGUGAAUUGCAAUGAAAAUCUUGUCCUAACAUUUUGUGAAUGGUUUCUGUUUGAAACAGACAUAGAACAUGCAUGAAUAAGUAGCCCUUUGAAUACUUAAUGAUGCUUUCAAUUUUUAUGUCCAAUGUAAAUAAUAUCAUAUGGCUAGCUAUGAUCUAUGGGGGUCUGCUUUACAGAAGGAACUGAUACUGUAGCCUCCAUUUUGAGUUGAUGUUAUAUUUUGUUCUUAGGCUUAAAUGACUUAAGUACUUGUUUUUCUUCAAAGACUGUAUGAAGUUUACCCUGUCUUUAAAGGUUUACUGUGUAAAAGAAAAAACAAAGCCAUGUUGUAGGAGUCAACACUAUGCCUACUUUAAGUUAUUGAACACUUUGUACUCCAAAGUUGAAAAAAAAAAGAUAUAUUUUUUUCUCUAUAUAUUUUUGAUAAAUUGUUAAGUCACAUCUGGGAAAUGAACAUGGAUACUGUUCAUCUACAGUGUGAGUAUGGUGGAUAUGUAAAGAAAUUGCAUUAAAAGCCAAUGUAAUGUUUUGCCACAGAAUAUUUUAACUUUGGAUUGUAAAUGUAUUUAUAUUAGGUUAUUCAAAAUGCCAUCACAGCAUCAUUCAACAUCAUCUAUGAUGGUUUCUGGUUUUGAAAAAACCUAUGUAUGGACAAGUGACUGUCACUAAUGAAAUGCUGGUAUUCAAAAAGUACUGUCAUGUUGUUCUCACUUUCACACAACCACUGUUGUUCACCAAGAAAGUGUGUAGGUGUGAAAGCCUUAAAUCUUCUUGCUGCCAAAGUUUUGUCAUUGGUGUGAGGGAUUCGGGCAAGUAUUUAAGUUGCCAUUGGUCACUAAACCCCAUUGUUUUGGGCAGUGUUCUCGUUCAUUUCACGUGAUUUCGUUGUAUUGCAUUUGAGGCCUUAAUUAUUGUAUUGAUAUUAUUAUUGUAAUUAUUGGCACUUAUUGCUUGUGUUUUUACAUUUUAUUUAUGUGUUAUUAAUGUGUUUGUUUAUCAUAUGAUAGUCUGCAAUAAUACUAAUUGGAGUUGGAUACUCUGAAAAGCCUUAGAGUAAAUAUUAUAUUUUUCUCUUCAGCAAGAGGACAGCUUAUAUAUUGAAAAUAAUUACGUUACCUGUUAACAGAUGAAUAUAUAUAUAUAUUUUUGUUUAUUUAUGAGGUGUAUAUUUGUGGAAAGAGACAGUAUUUGCAUCGUGUUUUAAUGUAUCAUACUAUAUACUGUUAAACAUGCUGUUUUCCUGUUAAAAUAGCAUUUUGUCACUACUAAUCAGUGGCUCAGGAAGAUCUCAUUUAUAUUGAGUAUUACUGAGACUUAUGUCAACAAAAUUGUAACUAUGUAUUUUUCAUGGUGAAGGGGAAUAACAGCCUAAUCACUAUCUAAAACUGGGCAGGUGGGUAGGAAAAAAGGUUGUACAAAGGUGGACAAUUUCAGCGAGAUUUAUUGAGCAGCAAACUGACAGUGUAUGGGUUGUGUCUAACCAAUGGGUAAAUUGGUGAGUCAGAAUAUUUGUUAAUUUAUUGGGUUGAUAUUUUAAUCAUAUCGAAAUUUGAAUUCUGUUCUCAUACCAUUAGUUUGAAUUGUACUCAUUUGUCAGUCUAGUCAAGUGCACAUUAUACUAAUGCCCUGCUGGUACUGUAUCCAGUCAUGAAUACUUUUUUUAAAUUGAAAUACAACCUGAAUUAAAGCAGGUGAUGUGUUGAUUUAAAUUGGAUUUCCGUAACCAUUGUGUGAAGCACCUGUUGAAAAAAGUAAAUAUUUUGUUUGGGGGUUGAAAAUGGUUAGGUCUACUGAUUUUCCCUACAUUACUUUGUGCUUUUUCCAAGACACUGUGUGACCCAUAAGGCUGACCAGGUUACAGCGUUGGUUAACCAAUGUUGUGAAGCGGAAACCUCCAGAAUGUUCAGUGAGGACACUCCAUGUGACAUUGAACACUUUGUCAAUGAAAUGUGCUUUACCAAUAUUGUGGUCCAAAUUGUUAUGUUACUGUCAUUGUAGAUGACUUACAUUUCAGCAAAUAUGGGUGUACCAAAAUUGUUGUAAUUCUUCCCUUGUUCUUAUUUUGCUGAUAUAUCUGCCUAUGUUUUACCUUUGGGUUUUCGUCAUCGUGUGCUGGUGUGAAUGUAUAGAAUAAAAGUCUACCUUCCAUCUGCUUAUAUACUUGUAUUUUGUGUGACAAUAUUGUUUUGUUGUACCCCUGUCGCUCUUAUUAAUUUCAGCAUAUAGCAAGAACUACAUUUGUGAAUAAUUGUAUUUGUAUUUGCAGUCCUUCACAAAAUCAUGUCAGACAAAAACAUAAAGCAUAUGUGUAACAACAAAUCCAUCAUUUUAGGGGGAAUUUUCAUGUCUUCUAUGUAGUUUUAUUUUACAGGAAAAGUCUACUGUACACAAUCAUAUACAAAAAAAAAGAAUAUCAGAAAGAUAAUAAACUUCAAGUUUAAAUGUCUACUAUGCCCAUUGUUAACGGACAAAAAUGCUGACUCAGUGUGUCUCACACUAGGAAAAGUCUACUGUACACAAUCAUAUACAAAAAAAAAGAAAAAAGAA